This 1472-nucleotide long non-coding RNA is filed under the name Oreochromis niloticus (Nile tilapia). RNAcentral's name for it is "lncRNA (ENSONIG00000042096.1)". Lineage: Eukaryota; Metazoa; Chordata; Actinopteri; Cichliformes; Cichlidae. The record is from RNAcentral.
AUGGAUGAUGGAGAGAAAAAUCCUCUUCUUUCCCGUAACAGCACGAAAAUCCAACUUACAGUUCAGUUGCUCGGUAGGUUACCGUCCUCCAGUCCCGAACUAAAUCCACUCUCCGCUCUCUCGGCGGAUCCGAUGCUGUCUCUGCCGCGGCGCAUCAGCCAGACGCCGUCCCGCUCCCCGACAGCCCUCCGCGGCCGCCUCCGCGGCGCAUCAGCCAGACGCCGUCCCGCUCCCCGACAGCCCUCCGCGGCCGUCUCCGUGACGCAGCCAAGCAGGUCCAAGCUAGCCUCCAGCCCCGACAGCUGCAGCUGGAAACACAGUUCUCACAGUGGUGCGACCGCCAAACCGAAAGGUUGCUUCGCCCGCCUCUGCCGCGAAGCUCUAGCCCGGUGAACCUCCAAAUCACGCACUCUUUUCCGCUAGUCGACCGCAGUCAAAACUAGCUGAGUCUCUCCUUUUUGUUCAGCUCGCGCGUGCACACUUCCCUUCCUUCUCUCCUUUCUUCCUCCCUCCCCUGCAACAAAAACACAGGUCCCGACCUGUGCUACCUUCAUGGGCCUCUAGAAAAUCAGAACCCCGAUCCACAUUUCAACUCUCUUCAAAAUCACAUAACAUAAUACUUUAUGAUUAACACAACAGUUUCAUUGCUCUAAAUACAUGUAUUCACCUUGUGACUUAUUACAGGGCAAAUUUCAUUCAGAGUACAGUUACAUCACAUAAAAUUAACUGUGACUACCUUAUGCUACUGUGGCGUUCAAGUCCAUGGGAACAUUGCAUCCAUUCCCAAACUCCCAUCCGGGCUACACCUGUAAAAACCAUAUCCUUAAACCACUUUUCAAACUGCGCCAUGCUCGGACAUUGCUUCAUAUCUUUACUUAGUCUGUUCCACAGCUUCAGUCCACACACAGAGAUGCAAAAACUUUUUAAUGUUGUACGGAUACAAGGAUGUUUUAAAUUUAAUUCCCCCCUCAAAUUGUAUCCCCGUUCCCUUUUAGAAAAACAGUUUUAGAAUAUUGUCAGGAAGCAGGUUAUUUAUUGCUUUAUACAUAAUUUGUGCAGUGAGAAAAUGAACCAGAUCUGUGAAUUUUACAAUUUUUGAUUUUAAGAAUAGUGGAUUUGUAUUUGGAUUUGAUCUCUGUAACCAGUUUUAUGGAUUAUCCUUAUGGCCCUUUUUUGUAAUAUAAAGAUUGAUGAUAGCGAACAUUUGUAAGUAUUGCCCCAAACCUCUGCACAGUAAUGAAAUACGGUGCAAUCAAGGACAAAGGGAGAAUGUGGAGUGAUUUGUGGUCCAGAAUGUGUUUUACUUUACUCAAGAUUGAAACGCUUCUUGAAAUUUUGUUAUGUAUAUGAUUUAUAUGAGACUUCCAGUUUAAUUUAUCAUCUAUAAUCACACCAAGAAACUUAUGUUCAAGUACUCUUUCAAUUUCCACAACAUCUAUAUGAAUCUGCGCUUGUGCAUUUCUAAGGGAAUU